Molecule: long non-coding RNA, 412 nt
Organism: Helicoverpa armigera (cotton bollworm)
Lineage: Eukaryota; Metazoa; Arthropoda; Insecta; Lepidoptera; Noctuidae
Exons: 2
Source: RefSeq, a predicted model, not a curated record
UUACGUGUUGCACUCGAGUGCAAAGAUUUUUCACCUUGUGCUCUUUUGAAUCCCUCGCUAUCGCUCAGGAUUCUAAUUAUUGAAACACUCGCUACGCUCGUGUUUCAAUUUUAGAAUCCUUCGCUUGCUCGGUCAUCAAAAUUGAGCCCGCGGUUAAAAAGCAACUUUGCACUCUUGUAUAACAAAUAACUAUUUUUUGUAUCGACGUUAAAAAUCAUCAAAUGACCCUUCCCGCUGUGGGUUAGCAGCGGUGAGGGAGUGUCAGACUCUUACUGAUUAAAAACCGUCGUGUUCUGUUCUCAAGUAGACUUUUCUUUUAUAUCUUUGUUACUUGAUUUCUGGAAGGUUUCAAAAUUCCAAAUACGCGAGCGAAGCGAGCGGGAAAUUUUUAUCGGAAUUUUAAACCAAAAAU